GCUUGUAUAGCUCAGUUGGUAGAGCGCCUCUUUCACAUGGAGGAAGUCCGGGGUUCAAGUCCCUGUGCAGGCA
This 73-nucleotide transfer RNA is filed under the name Pseudarthrobacter sp. BIM B-2242. It matches the Rfam family "tRNA". From Rfam's summary of the family: Transfer RNA (tRNA) molecules are approximately 80 nucleotides in length. Their secondary structure includes four short double-helical elements and three loops (D, anti-codon, and T loops). Lineage: Bacteria; Bacillati; Actinomycetota; Actinomycetes; Micrococcales; Micrococcaceae. The record is from Rfam by way of RNAcentral.